RNAcentral lists this ribosomal RNA (254 nucleotides) under uncultured bacterium. RNAcentral's name for it is "partial 16S ribosomal RNA". It matches the Rfam family "Bacterial small subunit ribosomal RNA", at positions 524 to 776 of the family's 1533-position model. The record is from RNAcentral.
UACGGAGGGUGCAAGCGUUGUCCGGAUUUAUUGGGUUUAAAGGGUGCGUAGGCGGCCCCAUAAGUCUGCGGUGAAACCCACGGGCUCAACCCGUGGCGUGCCGACGAUACUGUGGGAGCUUGGGUCGUCUCUGGGCGGGCGGAAUGGAAGGUGUAGCGGUGAAAUGCAUAGAUAUCUACCAGAACGCCGAUAGCGAAGGCAGCUCGCUGGGGACGUACCGACGCUGAGGCACGAUAGCGUGGGGAUCAAACAGG